This is an RNA transcript of Pangasianodon hypophthalmus (striped catfish), 9354 nucleotides long. It is a transcript of the gene named zinc finger protein 227, with no coding region annotated. Lineage: Eukaryota; Metazoa; Chordata; Actinopteri; Siluriformes; Pangasiidae. The transcript is spliced from 3 exons. The record is from RefSeq and is a predicted model, not a curated record.
AUGGCAGAACCAUAAGUUUAGUGUGUUUUUUUGGUUUGAACAAAAGAGUUACAAUGGUUACCAUGUUAUUUGGAGCAUUACAGAAUUGAAACACUAAAAAUUAUAAAUUUUAUAAAAUUUAUAAAACUAAAAUCCACUAGUGCAGCUAACUGUGUGUGUAUAUAUGUAUAUAUAUUUAGAUACCUUAACUGACUUAACACAGGAAAUGUACAAAAAAACAGGCUUUUUCAGUUCAGUCCACAAAUUUUUUAUGAGGUUCAGGUCAGAGCUUUGUGAUGGCCACUCCAAUACUUUUAGACUUUUUUUAAUACAACUUUGGGAGGUAUGCUUUGGAUCAUUUUCCUGCUGGAAGACCCAGUUUCUGGCUUAUGUCUUAGGUUUUUGCUUCAGUAUUCCUAGAUAAUCCUCCUUCUUUGUGAUGCCAUCUAUUUUCUGAAGUGCACCAGUCCCUUUUCCAGCAAAACACCCCCACAACAUGAAGCUGCCACCCACUGGGUGCUUUACAGUUGGGAUAGUGAUGUGUGUUGCUUUUUUUUGUUUGUUUGUUUUUUUUUUUAAUUAAAAGCCUCACCUUUUUUUCCUUCAUACAUAGUGCUGGAAAUUUUGGCCAGUUCAGUUUUUGUUUCAUUUGACCAGAGAAAAUUACUCCAAAAAGCUAGCUCUUCACUCUGGCUUUUUUAUGCUAGACUCUGUCCAAGUCUUUUUUUUUCCCUGAGGUUUUGGCUGUGUUGCUUGGAUUUUCACAUGGUGUCAAGGGCAAAAAGGCACUGCCUCUAAAAUACAACCAUACGUGCACUUGCAUUUAACUAUUAAUUAUGACAAGUGGCCAAUGAGAAGCUUCUAAAAGUUAUUACAUCAAUUUCUGGAAUCUUUUAGACUGUUUAAAAACACAAUCAGUUUGGUGUAUGUAAACUUUUGACCCACUGUGAUUCUGAUAUACUGAAUUAAAGCCCGAAAUAAAGCUGUCUCUAAUCAACUGUUUUAAAAUUACCUAUGAUGUGAAAAAAGUAGUCCUAAUUGACUUGCUAAAUUAAUGUAUGAUGAAAUGCGUGGAGUUGUUUUUAUUUUUAUUUUUUUUUAUACAACUUACUUUUUGUAUCCACCGAUUAUGCAAAAUCCACUGUCUUAAAUCUCUAACUGUUGGUUGCAUUGUGCACUUUUUACAGUAAAGGAAAUUUAGGACAUCAGAAUAGAGCAAGCAGCCUUAAAAAAAAACGAGCAAACAUUAGUGGUGCAUCUGAACUCAAAUAUUCCACAAGCAUGUGAAAGUAGUAUUAAAUCUGUAGUUGCACUAUCACAGCAUGCAUAAUUGUAACCAUUCAUAUUUUUCUCACUCUGGUAUGAAACACGCCACAUUCUAGUGCUUCUCAGCAGUCCAGCUUAACCAUCUCACGUGUAACAGUGCUAUCGCGUAAUGGGUUUUAUCAAAGUCGUUCAUUUAUUCAUCUUUUGUAACUUCUUUAUCCUGGUUAGGGUCGCGGUAAUCAGUAGUCAUAUUUUCCUCUUUUUGGGUUACCUCGUAGGGCUUUUAUUGUGAAUAUGCCUACUUCCGCUUUCUGUCUCGGAACGCCCUCGGUACAGCUGGUCCGUCCAUUGCUUACUAAGACGGCGCACUGUACUGACAAUGCGUGGCGAUUAGCUAAAACUAACCAUUGUGUGAAUGUGAUGUCCAUGGUCACAAUGCUGUGCAACCUGGAAUGAUGACUCAAGUAAGUCCUCACUGCUCAUGAGUAACAUGUUGUUUUUAAAUGCACGAAUACUUAGCAGUGGUAAACUAGUCAAGCUCAUUAGCAGGUCCCUGGUUAGGUCUAGAAGGAAUGACAGAAAACAGAUUUUGCUAGAUAAGGUGUUGUUGUCUUUGAUUUUCAAGAUGUAAAAUGGUCUUUCGCUGGUCUUUAUUGACUAGUGGUUCUGACAGCGCUCACUAGAGCCAAAAUUGUUUUUCUCGGCAAAGAUUUGUUACCAGGAUGCGCCAUCUGCACUAGAAGGCCUACUGCGCAGGCCUAGGGUGAGCGCGCGCGCGCCAGCCACACUAUUUGCAAUUAUUUAGCAAACGGAAAACCUGCCCUGCUCGUAAGUUGAGAUUUAUGCAUGAGAGAGCUGUUGCACUGUUCAUGUCAAGUCGGAAUUAAUCAUGAAACAGUUCGCCACUUGUGAGGCAAGCCUAUUUCCAUAAAUUUACCACCUAGUGGCGCGAUUCAAUCCUUUUGAACGAAUCCUUUAGUUGAAUCAAUCGGAUCAACUCGCAAAAGACGGUUUUUCAGCUGCACGAUACAGCAAGCAUAAUAGGUGUUCAUGUGCUGCAUUUCACUUGCUUCGUAAAUGUUAAUUUGCAGGUCGGAAUGACGUCAUUUUCGACCUCGGCGAAUUCGACGUACGAAGUGGGGAAAAAACAUGGACGCUUCCAUGUUCGUCUUUUGUUAGCAACAAGCUAGCCAGCUAACUGUGAUGAGUGAUGUAUAUGUUCUUCCUCAGCCAGCGAGCUGUAUAGUCACUGUUUUAGGUUUAAUGAGCGAAUAUGUCUGUAUGUUGAUUGAUCUAAGGCUAAUACUUGUGUAUAUACAGCAGAACUCAUUUAAAGGCAAAACGAUAAGAAGUGCUACUUUGUUUAUUUCUGAUGCUGUGCGCAGCCAUGGUGAUUUGAUGUCACUCCGUGAAUGGGAACGAAACUUUUAGUUAUGAAGAGAAGACUACCCCAAGUUGACGAGUUGGAGUUUAAAGUUGAGGUGACAUUUUCUUUGGCUUUUACUGUUUGCGGGUUGGGAAUUACAAGUCGCAGCCAAAAGUCCAACGCAGUGUAAUACAACAGUUAGUUCCGGUCCAUUAAUUUGACUGGUUGAGCAGCAUUCUAAGAGUGCUUAUAUUUCCUAUAACUGCACUGAGACAUUUAACUGUGUGCAUCACUCCACUCGUCUGUGUUUGCCACAUAAAAUUCCUCCUCCUAGUUUGAAAGAGUUACUACAGUAGAGUUAGAGACAUCAUCAGCAGACAUGGCAAACAGUACUUUUCAGGAAUAUAACUUUUGGCUUAAAAUUUGAAGCUCCUCAGUUGAAGAUGAAAAGGAUGAAGGGACGCCUGUUUUACUGGAAGCACCUUUAACAGGAAUGGACAACUCAAUGUGAGCGACCUAGCUGAUGUGCUAUAAAUUGAUUGAGCUCGACUCAUUGAUGGAGACGCUGAGGGAGGCAGGCAGGUGCUCUCCUUGCAGCCUGUUACGAAGGUCUGAUUUGACCUGAAAAUUAAGUUAUGUACGGAGUCAGAACGUGCAAGAUUAUAUGGGAUAUUUGUCAUGCUGAAGUGGGAGUUAUGAACACGGGAUAUGAUUGAUGGAUCUGUAGUGAAUCAUCUGUCUGUGAGUCAUAGUCAUCUAUCCAGACAUCUAUCCAAACAUAGUCAUCUAUCUAGACAGAGGGAGAGUAUACGACACUUCAUGCUCAUCAGAUAAUUUUGUGGAAAAUGUAUAGAAAUGAUGAUUCUGUCUAAGGAAAUGUCAAGCAAACAUGUGGGAAUCCAUCAGUGUUUCGGCAGAUGUGCACACCUUUGAACUAAAAGUCCUAAUGAACGUUGUUUAGCGAAGCUCUGUGAUCACAAAUAAAUGGAAAUAGACGUGAUUGUAUAUGUAUGUGUCUCGUUAUUUCAUUCGAAAUAUCAAUAACUACCGGUUUGAUUUUGCAUGUUUGAUAUGUACUCCUGACAGAAAUGAAGAAAUUACUGUCACUGUACAUUUUUAUCAUGUGGUCAAAUGUUGAAGCUAAAGUCCUAAAUCUUUCUAAUGAUUUGCACUUUAAAUAAGAUCAUUAUGGUAAUAGCAUGCAGUGAAUGUAAACAACAACAACAAUUAAGAGGUUAAUGUUACUUACCUCAAACAACGUUGUGUCCUCAGAAUGCCUUGGUGUCUCAGAAUACAGUACUAUGGUUCCAGUGUGUGUGUGAGCAGGCAUGCGUACAUCAGGGGGAGGGAAGGGGAGCGGUCUGACUGAUUGGAGUGAGAGAUGCUUUACCAAAACAAUGGGGGCAAAACAGAGAUCUUUUAUGCUAUUAUGAGAAGUGUAAAAAAAAAAAAAAAUCGGUUUAUUAUGAAACUGGCGGGACAAAUUAGACUGUGGCGGGCUGCCACAUUCUAGGUAAUUAAUGGGAAACACUGCAUAUACCUUUGCUAGUUCCUCAGCAACAUUGAGAGACUCAGUGGAACAACAGAAGUCAACAAAAUGAACAUGAAAAUAUGCAAAACAUUUAUUGAAUAUUAAUUUACAGGACCUAGAUUGUAAAUCUGCUAUUAAAAAAACAUAAAUUGAUCAGGGCUUGGGUUAGUAGAAAAUCCAUAAUGUCCAUUUGGGGUUUUGCGCUCCCAAAAAGUUUGGGAACCCCUGAAAGUAUUGUAACAGGAUUUUAAAAAGUUGACAUUAGGCCUAAUUGUGACAAGCAAUGACUGUCAGUUCCUUUUCUUUUGGUUGCUUUUUCUGUCAUUUUUGACAAUGUUUCUGAGCCACAAAAUAGAAUUUAUUAAAUUGAUUAUAGAGUUGUUUGACCUUGUUUUUCCACUUAUUUCUAGAUUAAUGGUUAAAAAAAAGUAAAUUUCAUCCAUUUUAAAUAAAAUCUAUAACACAAUAAAAAAUGAAAAAACUAAAGGGGUCUAAAGUUCUUUCAAAUGUGGAAAAGUAAAAAAAAAAAAAUAAUAAUAAGACAACCUUUUACACCACAUGGGUCAUGGAUUUAUUUUAGUCUUACACUGUCAAAACCCAUCUUUGUCUUGGUUUAUCAGCCGCAAACAGUCCAUCUUACAGUAGUGAGAAAACACUGAAAAUUAGGCCUAAUAAAUAUAUAGUGUUAGAGGCCAUUUAGCAGUAAAAGAUUAACCUGUAGGCUAUGAGAGAGAGAGAUUCCAUUGGAUCAAAAGUUUAAAAAUGCAGAAGUUUACUGUGUCUUUAAACAGUCAAAGAUUACAGAAAUUGAUGUAAUUUUACCUAUAGCUGUAAAAGGGCCUCCCUUUAGAGACAGCGCCUUAUUACCCUUGCUACCAUGGGAAUAUCCAAGCAACUCACCCAGGACCUCAGAAAGAAAAAUUCUGGACCUCCGCAAGCCCGGUUCCUCCAUAGGAGCAAUUUCCAAAACGGCCAUAAGCAGCUGUAUGCAAAUAUAAAAAUCUUGGGAUAGCACAGGCACAAAAAAAAAAGAAAGCACAGAGAAGAGGUACAAAUUAACUCUCAGGGAUGAAUGAAUUUUGUUUUGAAAGUUUCAGCUGAUCCCCAAGACAACAGUAAAGCAACUGGUCAAAAUAGUAGGGGUAUAAUGAUAUGGGGUAUCAUUUCAUUUGAUAUGAAGCUCUCAAUUCGAUACAUAUGUGAAUUGAACAGUAUUUUUGGCUGCAUAAAAGUAGACUAUUUUUCAUAAAAUACUGCUAAUACUGCAUGAAGUGAAAUAAACUUUUAAACUUAAUCAAGCCCACUCUCCUGCCUCUGAAAAAGUAUCUUCCUCUUUGGCUUAAAUCAGGAGAGGCUAAGCUUUUUCAAAUGAUGUUUUUCAUGAGCCGACAGGCUAACAUACUAGCAUAUUAACUGCUACAUUGAGCAGCAAGCAAAAACUGGAAUAUUCCCCCAAAACUGGUGUGUGGGGUCAUUUCGGCUUCCACCAAAAAAAUAGUGCUAAUGCCGCAAUCAUAUGGAUAAUAUGGUGCAAGCAAGCAAACUCUGCUGCUUUCAGGUAGCAUUUUUUUGCUGGGCUAAAGAAGUCACUGCACCCAGUGUGCAUAUUCUGUAGUGGAGAAUACAGGAUUCAAAAACACAUCUGGAGCUAGAGAGAGCUAUGUGAUUCUUAGAGCACAAUUAGCCAACGGCAGAAUGUGAAAAGCCCUGUGCUUCAGAACGCCACCUAGAGUCACAUCAGUGAAAGCUUAGUCAUGUUUAAUUUUGUUACAUUCUAAUGCACACUUUUUUUUCAUUAUAUGCUACUAAGAGUCUGAAUAGAUAAUGUUAACACUGUCACAAUAACAGUUAUUGUACUUUUAUCAAGUUGAAUGUAUUAACAAGGAGAAAAUGGAAACCUAAGGCACAUUCAGACAAUGCUUAUUUUUGCUGGAUUUAAAAUGUAUCGUAUCACGACACCAAAGUUUUGUUAUUGAAAUUGAAUUUUUGUGAAUUGAAUAUUUGUGGAUGCACAAAAAAGCACUGAUAAUUAAACUACAGUCCUUAAUAAAUUAUAAAAAGCUCCCAUUCACUGCUCCUUACGGUUUCUGUAUGCCUUUAGGCAUAUUGUUUUACUUACGUUUAAUUUGAUCGUACCAUUUUAUUUUGACUUUACAGAUCUUACUUGUGCUACCACUGUUUAUCACUGCGUCUACACUGUGAGUGAGGAGCACAAUGCGGCGUUCAUUAGAAAUAGAUUGCUCCCGUUAUAAUCAACGACAGAAUUUACACUGCAAGUGUGUAAAUACAGCAUAUAAUGAAAAUAAACUUGAAUGAAACUAAACCUUUUAAGCUAUUUGCAGCAAUUUCCCCAACCCCAUGCACACAGUGGAACAUUUUGGAUAUAUACUUUGGAUAUAAACAUAAGUUUGUGCUUGUGCAUCACUGUUGUGCUUCCGUGCCACCCAAGCUCUGCUUUGCAAAGUUUGCAGGUUACAGUCUUCUUCACGGCAUUUAAUAUAAAAUGCUCCCAUGCCUUAGAGGACUUGGGUCGCACACUUUUUUCCACUUUCACUUGAUGAUUACACCUCCCUCUGAUGGUGACUGAGGUCAUGUUGGGCAUAAAAGGUAUCAUUGGCAUAAACAGCAAAAUGAAGAAAUUCAUUUUUGUUGACUCUAGGUAUUUUGUUAAAGCUAGCGGCGUUGCAUUAUGUGCGUUUGAUGCCAUGUGCCAUUGACUGGGAAACAGCUUAUAUUUCCGGUUUGUGAAAAAACGUUAGUGUUCCAUUUGAGAUGAUACUGCCCUUCUAAAAUGUAUACACUAGAUGGUAGAUUACAUAGUGUAUAGUAUAAGUGCGUAGUGUAUAGUACAUCAUUUGGGACACAACUUGGGUCUGUACUUUCUGGCAUUUUUCCAAUGUGUGUUUUCACAACAGAAGUAACGCAAUGAGUGAUGUUAGGAGCAGUGUGAAGACACAACUGAGUGAAAGUUGAGUAAAUGUUUGUAAAUUGUAGCUUACAGUACUUAGUAGUUUUUGAACAACUCUUAUUGAGAAAUAAAAAUUUAAAGCACCUAAGAGGAAUUAGAGGAACUAAAAACAGAAUAUUAUACACGUUCUCAGGAAUUUUUGAAUAUUGUUUUCCAGAGGAUUCUUUUCUCUCUUUAUGUGGUGACAGUUAGACAUCCAAACUGUCCAUCUAAAAAGCGUAUGAGCGCAUCAUUUUGCUUUAAUUAACCAACCCUGAUACCAGUAUGCUGUUAAAUUUGCAUUUACAUUUGUUUGAGAUCCUAUCACAAUGCAAGUCUGGGUACCUCUAGAUGUGUUACAAUGUUUGUGUGCGCUUCCACCUGUAUAUUUUUUUUUUCUUCCCCCACUGUAGUCAAAUUACAGUAUAUCUAACCAUGAUUUGACUGCCAGACACAUUUAAUACUCACUGUUUAAUUGGUAAGUUAAACCCUUGCAAGUGUAUGUUGCACUAAAUGAAAGUUUAAUGUGAAAUUGAAAUAAUGUGUACUUCUAAUGAAAGUCUGUCUACAUUAAUACCUGUGGGGUUUUUACCGCAUUAAUGUCAGUUACACAAAAUUGAACAGGCUGCUCCUUCCCUCAUCAUUCAUUGUUGCCCAAGAUGUUUGGCUGAUGCUAUUUGUGAACUCAGUGUCCAUGUGAAUCAGCUUGGUGCGAACGGUUGAUAGCAGGGAGGAAUCACUGGUCCUAGGUAAGAGGGAAGUUUAGGAUCACUUUCUAAUGUCUUCCUCUCACAUUAUUGGUUUCAUUUUUUGCAUUUCCUUGUACAGUUUGUCUAGUCUCUCUUCACCCUGCUGUUCAAUGCUCUGUAUCUUUUGCUAUCUACUGAUAUUCAAUCUGGUAUUCAAAGGGGUUUUGGAUUUGGGUGGUAGACUCAAUUCAAUUUUAUUUGUAGACAGUAGGCCUAAUUUAUCAGUCUCUUUUGCGUGUAAAUGUCUUCUUAAGCCAAACUGAACUACAAUUUUUCAAUGGAUUUACAAAAGUUUUGGAAACACUGGUUUUCUUUUUACUCGCACGCAUAUGAAGAACACCCAUAAAGUGCAAAGGGCGUUCCUGACACAGCUCAUUUGCAUUUAGUGACACCCAUGAAACUCCAUAAAAGGUCGAGUGCACAUAGGGCUGGAAGCACGAAAUGACAACUACACGGUGAAAGAAAAGGCAGAAGUGGAAGUUAUUUUGACUCACUUCUAUGCCAAAAAAAAAUUAACAAUGUAGCAUCACCUGAAAAAGUCAAAAACUAGAGACUAAUUACAGAAAAGGUGAAUUAGGUAUGAGUUAAAUGAGAUGACAAGAAAAUGGUGUGACUUAUCUACAUUGUACCCAGGUGAUCAUGCAAAUAACACAGGGGAAACUUCUAUUUUAAAAUAGUUUUAAGUGUCUUGGCAGACAGGCUGGAGAUGCACAGCAUUAAAAGAAGAUGCUGUGGCAAAGACCUGAUUUAUAAGACAGGUUUCAUCCUCCCAAGAAAAACCCAUAUCGGUUAUUAAACCUUCCCCUCAUAAGUGUGACCUUACUCUUUAGUCAGUUGAGGCUUUUUAUUUAUUUAUUUAUUUAUUUUUAAAAAACAGCUUACAGCUAUGCACAGACAGAGCAGCCAGUUGUCUGUUUAUGUGGCAGCAUUUCGUUGUAGUAUUACUAUGUGUGUUUGUGUUCGUUUGCUUUCUUUGUUUUUCUUAUUCUUUAAUUAAUGCUAUUAAUAAAUAAUGCUAUUAACAAAUUUCUCAAUGAUAUUUUUAAUCUGACCUAGUGAUUCAGUGAUGAGUAUGAUGCAAUGAAAGUUGAAUCUUUAGAAACCUGAUUGAGACAGAUGAAGAACUGAGGGAGCUCGACAGACUCAAGAAUGAAAGGUCUUUUGCACCUGUUCCCACAGCCUGUUCCCUCAGUUUUGCUAACCAAAUUUUGGCCACCAUUGAUUGUCGCAUAUUAAUUAUAAAUAUUGAUGUGCAAUUUGUUCAGAGUGGAUUUUACCUUUAAAUUUUCAUGUUCAAAUUUCACAUAAAAAGCUGACACAUUUGCAAAGUGCCUUCAAAAUUAUGCCACCUGUUUUGGAAAUUAUAAAUAAUAGUUAAUGAAAAGAACACGGUAAGCAAUUUUUGUAGUGAACUCUUAAAAGAAUUCACUAUUUUCAAUACUGACAGUUCAUCCUUUUUAACUGCAGGGAAACCUGUUUGGAAAUAUGUUGAUAUGCUUUCUGUUUUUUUUUUUUU